AGUGGGAUAGCUGGGUCAUAUGGUGGUUUCAUUUUUACAUUUUUCAGAAUUAUCCAUACUGCUUUCCAGAAUGAAUGCACUAAUUUGCAGUCCCACCAACAAU
RNAcentral lists this microRNA precursor (103 nucleotides) under Marmota monax (woodchuck). Lineage: Eukaryota; Metazoa; Chordata; Mammalia; Rodentia; Sciuridae. The record is from RNAcentral.